GCUCAGCCUGCGUCAGAUACGACUGGCGGAUAAAUAAUCCGCGUGUCGGCGGUUCGAAUCCGCCUCUGGGCACCA
RNAcentral lists this transfer RNA (75 nucleotides) under Mesorhizobium sangaii. RNAcentral describes it as "tRNA-Ile". Lineage: Bacteria; Pseudomonadati; Pseudomonadota; Alphaproteobacteria; Hyphomicrobiales; Phyllobacteriaceae. The record is from RNAcentral.